AGUCGAGGGGCAGCGGGAGUACAAUACUUGCCGGCGACCGGCGCACGGGUGCGUAACACGUAUAUAAUCUACCUAAAACUGGAGGAUAGCCCGAAGAAAUUCGGAUUAAUACUCCAUAACAUUGCGAGAUGGCAUCAUUUUGCAAUUAAAGCUCCGGCGGUUUUGGAUGAGUAUGCGUUCGAUUAGCUAGUUGGUGAGGUAACGGCUCACCAAGGCGACGAUCGAUAGGGGUACUGAGAGGUUACACCCCCACACUGGUACUGAGACACGGACCAGACUCCUACGGGAGGCAGCAGUAAGGAAUAUUGGACAAUGGUCGCAAGACUGAUCCAGCCAUGCCGCGUGCAGGAUGACUGCCCUAUGGGUUGUAAACUGCUUUUGUACGGGAAUAAACCCUUCUACGUGUAGAAGGCUGAAUGUACCGUAAGAAUAAGGAUCGGCUAACUUCGUGCCAGCAGCCGCGGUAAGACGAAGGAUCCAAGCGUUAUCCGGAUUUAUUGGGUUUAAAGGGUGCGUAGGCGGAUUGAUAAGUCAGUGGUGAAAGCCUGUUGCUUAACAACAGAACUGCCAUUGAUACUGUCAAUCUUGAAUAUGUUUGAUGUGGGCGGAAUAUGACAUGUAGCGGUGAAAUGCUUAGAUAUGUCAUAGAACACCGAUUGCGAAGGCAGCUCACAAAGCCAUUAUUGACGCUGAGGCACGAAAGCGUGGGGAUCAAACAGGAUUAGAUACCCUGGUAGUCCACGCUGUGAACUUUGAUCACUCGCUGUUGGCGAUACACUGUCAGCGGCUAAGCGAAAGCGUUAAG
Molecule: ribosomal RNA, 805 nt
Filed under: uncultured bacterium
Lineage: Bacteria
Description: bacterial SSU rRNA
Rfam family: Bacterial small subunit ribosomal RNA
Source: RNAcentral